Molecule: non-coding RNA, 731 nt
Organism: Camelina sativa (false flax)
Lineage: Eukaryota; Viridiplantae; Streptophyta; Magnoliopsida; Brassicales; Brassicaceae
Source: RefSeq, a predicted model, not a curated record
UCUCGGCCACAGCCUACAAACGCACUCUGUCUGUCUUUCUCAUCCGUAGGCUGCACUCAUUCAAUCUAACCCUAAUUUACCGAGAAAGUCUCCAAUUCUCUCCGUCGAACCAUGGGCGAAGAUCUAACCGAGACGAGAUAUUAUUCCCGUGAUGAGACAGUGGUCUUCUGGAACUUGGAUGAUUAUCCAAUCCCUAGUGGUGCCGAUUGUGGCUCGAUUUAUCCUAAUAUCGAAUUAGCUCUCCAUAAAAUGGGCUUUCAUGGUAGAGUGUCAAUCAUGGCCUUUGGUGACGACAAACAUGACUUGGGCAGGACCAGAAUGUAUAAGGAAGUAGACGGUGUACUGGGACUUGCACAGGGUUCUUCAUUGUUUGAAAUCGAGAGAUAGAAUUGUUCUCUUACUAGAGCCGCCGCCUGGUGACACUGCUCAACCAUUUCUUUCUGUAGACUCAGUGGUUGAAUCUACACAAGUUUUAGGUGGAGUAAAGCCUAUAAGCGGAAUGCCGGUACGUUAUCAUGAUGCUCUAAAUGAUAAGCUUAUUGAGGAGUAUAAGACCACCUGUUAUUACUGUCGCUGUGAUUGUAAUUAACACUCCUGGUGAUUUGAGUUAGAUAUUUUGUUUUCUGUCAAAAGUUAUGUAUGAAAACAUUCAUGCAUUGUUACAUCUUUCUUAUUUCUGUUACGUUAUUACGAUCCUAAUUUGAUCUAUCAGAAAAUCGAAUCAGAAAUUA